This 484-nucleotide ribosomal RNA is filed under the name uncultured bacterium. RNAcentral describes it as "partial 16S ribosomal RNA". It matches the Rfam family "Bacterial small subunit ribosomal RNA", at positions 30 to 507 of the family's 1533-position model. The record is from RNAcentral.
AUUGAACGCUGGCGGCAGGCCUAACACAUGCAAGUCGAGCGGUUGAAGGGAGCUUGCUGCUUGUUUCAUCGCCGGACGCGUACGUAAUGCUUAUGACUCUGCCUGUUCCUGGUGGAUAACGUUCGCAAAUGGGCGCUAUUACUACUUACGUCUUGAGUCACAAAAUGGAGGAUCUUCGGCUUUCGCGCUCUCACCUUAGCCUAGGUCGGAUUAGCUAGUGGGUGGGGUAAAGGCCUACCCAGGCGACGAUCCGUAACUGGUCUGAGAGGAUGAUCAGUCACACUGGAACUGAGACACGGUCCAGACUCCUACGGGAGGCAGCAGUGGGGAAUAUUGGACAAUGGGCGAAAGCCUGAUCCAGCCAUGCCGCGUGUAUGAAGAAGGUCUUCGGAUUGUAAAGCACUUUAAGUUGGGAGGAAGGGAAGUAAGUUAAUACCUUGCUGUAUUGACGUUACCAACAGAAGAAGCACCGGCUAACUUCGUG